AGAGAGAUGCAGAGAGAGAGAGAGUCAGAGAGAGAGCGAGAGGGGGAGAGAGAGAAAGAAAGAGAGAUGCAGAGAGAGGCAGAGAGAGGGAGAGGGAGAGAGAGAUGCAGAGAGAGAGAGAGUCAGAGAGAGAGAGAGCAAGAGGGGGGGAGAGAGAAAGAGAGAGAGAGAUGCAGAGAGAGGCAGAGAGAGGGAGAGGGAGAGGGAGAGAGAGAUGCAGAGAGAGGCAGAGAGAGAGGGAGAUGCAGAGAGAGACAGAAAGAGGCAGAGAGAGAGUCAGAGAGAGCGAGAGGGGAGGAGAGAGAAAGAGAGAGAGAUGCAGAGAGAAACAGAAAGAGGCAGAGAGAGAGAGAGUCAGAGAGAGAGAGAGAGAGAGAGAGAGGGGGGGAGAGAGAGAAAAAGAGAGAGCAAUGUAAAGGGAAGGUGAAGAUCAGCUUGGUAAUUAAGUAGUGAACUAGGGCAGGUAAUUAAGUAGUGAACUUGGGCAGUUAAUUAAGUAGUGAACUAGGGCAGGUAAUUAAGUAGUGAACUUGGGCAGGUAAUUAAGUAGUGAACUUGGGCAGUUAAUUAAGUAGUGAACUUGGGCAGUUAAUUAAGUAGUGAACUUGGGCAGUUAAUUAAGUAGUGAACUUGGGCAGGUAAUUAAGUAGUGAACUAGGGCAGGUAGUUAAGUAGUGAACUAGGGCAGGUAGUUAAGUAGGGAACUUGGGCAUGUAGUUAAGUAGUGAACUUGGGUAGGUAAUUAAGUAGUGAACUUGGGCAGGUAAUUAAGUAGUGAACUUGGGCAGGUAAUUACGUAGUGAACUUUGUCACGAAUUCCACCGAAGUCGGUCCCUCUCCUUGUUCGGGCGGCGUUUGGCGGUUGACGUCACCGGCCUUCUAGGCAUCGACGAUCCAGUAUUCAUUUUCAAUUUGUUUUGUUUUUGUUUUACACACCUGGUUUCAAUUCCCCAAAUACAUGUUCUUUAUUUAACCCUCUGUUUUCUCCAUGGUUUUUAUGCGUGUUUGUUUGUUGGCUGAGAAAUGUUUGUUCUUCCAAAAGUCUGUCUCCUUCCAGGGUACCGCAUUUCCACUUCAGGGGUAGAGAUGAAGAGUGACCGCAUUUUAGCCGUGUGUAAUUGGCUGACUCCCACCAUAGUAAAGGAGGUGCAGCGGUUUCUAGGGUUUGUCAACUACUACCGGAGGUUUAUCCGGGGUUUUGGUCAACUAGCGGCUCCCAUUACCUCACUGCUGAAGGGAGGACCGGUGCGACUGCAGUGGGCGGCUGAGGUGGACAGGGGCUUUUGGUCACCUGAAGCCUAUGUUUACCUCGGCUCCCGUGCUGGCCCAUCCGGAU
This is a long non-coding RNA of Oncorhynchus tshawytscha (Chinook salmon), 1336 nucleotides long. NCBI's taxonomy places the organism in Eukaryota, Metazoa, Chordata, Actinopteri, Salmoniformes, Salmonidae. The record is from Ensembl.